RNAcentral lists this ribosomal RNA (497 nucleotides) under uncultured bacterium. RNAcentral's name for it is "partial 16S ribosomal RNA". It matches the Rfam family "Bacterial small subunit ribosomal RNA", at positions 28 to 507 of the family's 1533-position model. The record is from RNAcentral.
GAUGAACGCUGGCGGCGUGCCUAAUACAUGCAAGUCGAGCGAACAGACGAGGAGCUUGCUCCUCUGACGUUAGCGGCGGACGGGUGAGUAACACGUGGAUAACCUACCUAUAAGACUGGGAUAACUUCGGGAAACCGGAGCUAAUACCGGAUAAUAUAUUGAACCGCAUGGUUCAAUAGUGAAAGACGGUUUUGCUGUCACUUAUAGAUGGUUCCGCGCCGCAUUAGCUAGUUGGUAAGGUAACGGCUUACCAAGGCAACGAUGCGUAGCCGACCUGAGAGGGUGAUCGGCCACACUGGAACUGAGACACGGUCCAGACCCCUACGGGAGGCAGCAGUAGGGAAUCUUCCGCAAUGGGCGAAAGCCUGACGGAGCAACGCCGCGUGAGUGAUGAAGGUCUUCGGAUCGUAAAACUCUGUUAUUAGGGAAGAACAAAUGUGUAAGUAACUAUGCACGUCUUGACGGUACCUAAUCAGAAAGCCACGGCUAACUACGUG